Molecule: ribosomal RNA, 668 nt
Filed under: uncultured bacterium
Lineage: Bacteria
Description: bacterial SSU rRNA
Rfam family: Bacterial small subunit ribosomal RNA
Source: RNAcentral
AGUCGAGGGGUAGCAUGAAGUAGCAAUACUUCGAUGACGACCGGCGCACGGGUGAGUAACACGUAUGCAACCUACCUUCCACAGGGGAAUAGCCCGGAGAAAUCCGAAUUAAUACCCCAUAACACAGGGAUACCGCAUGGUAAUAUUUGUUAAAGAUUAAUCGGUAGAAGAUGGGCAUGCGUUCCAUUAGCCAGUUGGUGAGGUAACGGCUCACCAAAGCAACGAUGGAUAGGGGAACUGAGAGGUUUAUCCCCCACACUGGAACUGAGACACGGUCCAGACUCCUACGGGAGGCAGCAGUGAGGAAUAUUGGUCAAUGGACGAGAGUCUGAACCAGCCAAGUCGCGUGAAGGAUGACUGCCCUACGGGUUGUAAACUUCUUUUGUAUGGGAGUAAAAAGAUGGACGUGUCCAUUAUUGCAAGUACCAUACGAAUAAGCAUCGGCUAACUCCGUGCCAGCAGCCGCGGUAAUACGGAGGAUGCAAGCGUUAUCCGGAUUUAUUGGGUUUAAAGGGUGCGUAGGCGGGACAAUAAGUCAGCGGUGAAAGUUUGAGGCUCAACCUUAAAAUUGCCGUUGAAACUGUCGUUCUUGAGUAUAUUUGAAGUAGGCGGAAUUCGUAGUGUAGCGGUGAAAUGCAUAGAUAUUACGAAGAACUCCAAUUGCGAAG